CAAAACCAGGAGACCUGUAAAUGUUUCUUUUCCAGUUGGAUGAUGAUAAGACUGUGACACGGGAUGCCACCUUUAGUCUUGUGAUGAGGCAAAGCUCAGGAAGAAGUGUGAUUAAAUGGUACCCACAUGUGUGCUGCUGAGAAGGAUGUACAGGGGCACCUGCAGCCAAAUCCAUAUAUAUAUACAUAUAUAUAUGUAUAUAUAUAUAUAUGUAUAUAUAUAUAUGUCAAAUUAAUUUGACACCUGAAUUGAAAAUACCAUAUUGUACUCAUACAGAAUCAGUAUGGUAUCAUUGUCUGUCUGUUCACUGAUUGCUGAAACUAAGAGCUACUUUGAUCUGUGUAGAUCUAAAGUCUCCAAACUCAAGCUCUGAUGUUUCUUCACCCCUGUGUGUGUGAUAUCUGAUUUCCUACAUGCUGGCGGAGCCGCAGUUUGUGCUCACAGUUGGUGACGGUGUGGAGAGACGGUGGUGUUUCCUCAGAGGAACUAGCAGAGUCACAAAGGGCACGAGUCCAUCUCACCACCUUGACUUGCUGACUGAUGCUCGUCUGCACUGCACAGAGGAAAUCAACUGACCGAGAUGGGCAGGAUAUCACUAUUAGACUGUCUAACCUGCCAGGGCAGCAUUGAAUGACCACCACACAUGAGCAUGUUCCUGCAACAUUCAGCAGCUUUGCUUUUGUGUCAACUGUCAAACAGCUGGAGAGGAAACUACACCAGUGUACUGGGAUGUUUCACCAACACGUGCCAGAUCCUGUUCCUUCAUGGUUUCAUCACCAGAGACAGCCUUUACCAGCCACACUCUAACUGCAAUUAAGAAAACAAACCGUAAAAAUUGUCGUUUUUCUCUUUUGUAAUUAAUGAUAAUUCAGUGAAGAUACUCUGCUGCUUCCUUUUGUUUCGUCACACAUUGCUUUAAGUUUUUCAGUGUCCAGUUAUUUUUUACUGCUGUUUGAAUUCUCUGUAUGUUUGACCCUGUAGACUGUUUAAUGGACUGCUUUUCUGGUUCCCGUUUGUAACCGCCGCCUGUUUUUGACUAAAGAUUUGGAUUUCUGACUUUAA
Long non-coding RNA from Oreochromis aureus, 1062 nucleotides. RefSeq lists it as uncharacterized. The record is from RefSeq and is a predicted model, not a curated record. Lineage: Eukaryota; Metazoa; Chordata; Actinopteri; Cichliformes; Cichlidae. The transcript is spliced from 3 exons.